UGCCAGGUUUAACUUGGGACUGCUGGUCUGCCGUUGGUGUUUGGAAUUUAGGGUUGGAGAGGCAGGGAGUCCAAGAGAAGGCACUGGAUCCAACUGUCCUUCAGUCAGGAGGAACCCUUUAAAAGGUAGGAGCUGGCCUCCCACAUUAAACCAUCAUAGUACAGACACCGUCAUCAAUGGAAACAGAAUUAAGGACUCAUGGAAUCCACACUCCUACAGACCUCAAAACACACGCCUUGGAGAAAGAAAAGCAAAUAGUGCUGUUCCAGCUGGCUAGCUAGAAGCAGAAGAAUGAAACUGGAUCCUGUCUCUCCCUCUGCACAGAAGUCAACUUCAAAUGCAUCAAGGACCUCAACCCAAGGCCUGCUACCCUGAACUUGACGGAGGAGAAAGUAAGGAAUGUACUUCAGCUUAUAGGCACAUAAUGGACUUUCUGAAUAGGAGUUGAGUAGCAGAAGCAUGAAGACUAACACUUGACACGUGGGGCUUUGUGUAAAUUUGCAAAGGAAAUGUAAGCAUCCAGCAGAAUGGAUGGGGGAGUCUUUACUCUCUAUACAUCUGAAAGAUAAUUACUACUUACAAGAUACAAAGGACUCAAAAAAAUUAAAUACCCAUAAACAAGCCAAUUUCAAAAGUAGGCUAUGUAAUGGAACAGUGAGAAGAGAAGGAGGAAGGGGAGGAGAGGAGAGGAGGAGGGGGAUGAGGAGGAAGGGGAAGAGGAAGAAGAAGGAGGAAGAGGAGGAGGAGAGAGAAGAAGAAGCUGAGAAAUAUUUUUUAAAAUGUUCACAGCCUUUAGCCAUCAGGAAGAUGUGUAUACUUGAAAUUUCAUCUCACCCCAGUUGGGAUGGCUUUGAUUAAUAACAUAGAUAAAAACCAAUGCUGGUGAGGAUGUCCGGAAAGGGCAAUUCUCAUUCAUUUCCGGUGGGAAUGCCAACUGGUGCAGCUACUAUGGAAACCAAUUUGUCAGCACCUCAAAAAACUAGAAAUAGAACUACCAUAUAUGACCCAGCUAUACCUCUCCUGGGCCUGUACUCAAAGGACUGUAUUUCCUACUAUGGAGAUAUAUGCUCAUUUAUGUCCAAUUGCUGCUUUGUUCACAGUAGCCAGAUGUAAUGGUUAGUGAAACUGCUGUACAGAUGUGCAAUGGAACAUUACCCAGCUGUAAACAAAUGGCAGCUAUUCAGUUUUCAGGCAAAUGGAUGAAACUUGAAAACAUUACACUGAAUGAGGUAACCCAAACCCAGAAAGAUAAACGUUUCAUGUUCUUCCUCA
Molecule: non-coding RNA, 1272 nt
Organism: Peromyscus maniculatus bairdii (prairie deer mouse)
Lineage: Eukaryota; Metazoa; Chordata; Mammalia; Rodentia; Cricetidae
Source: RefSeq, a predicted model, not a curated record